AAAAUUUUAAGAUUUUAUUUUUAAAAAAUUGCAAUUUUUUUCUUUAGUUUCAUUUGAUUUUU
RNAcentral lists this transfer RNA (62 nucleotides) under Ceroplastes floridensis. Its description in RNAcentral is "tRNA-Ala". The record is from RNAcentral. Lineage: Eukaryota; Metazoa; Arthropoda; Insecta; Hemiptera; Coccidae.